UAGGAAGAUGCCACUCUUAUUUCCAGGUGA
This 30-nucleotide non-coding RNA is filed under the name Mus musculus (house mouse). The record is from RNAcentral. Lineage: Eukaryota; Metazoa; Chordata; Mammalia; Rodentia; Muridae.